GUGUCACUUCGGCAGCACAUAUACUAAAAUUGCAAUGAUGCAGAGGUUAACAUGGCCCCUGCGCAAGGAUGACACACAGAUUCAUGAAGUGUUCCAUAUUUUU
RNAcentral lists this small nuclear RNA (103 nucleotides) under Phocoena sinus (vaquita). Lineage: Eukaryota; Metazoa; Chordata; Mammalia; Artiodactyla; Phocoenidae. The record is from RNAcentral.